GCCCCCCGCUUCGGGGUCACCGACUUUCCAAAAGGUCCUCGGGAGUCAAGAUUGAGUGACCGCGACCGACAAGUCAAAGGUCAGAGUUGUCACCCUGCGUGCAGACGAGUCUGUACGUACAGGUACGGAGGAACACAAGAGGUCCGUGUGUGGACCCACAGGAUUAUCGCGUCUAAAUCCCCAAACUGCUCCGGCAUCCGUGCCAACCUCAGCCUGAUUCUCACCUGACAUCCUCACGGAAGGUCUCUGAAGAGUUAAUCACUUUUCCAUGAAACCCCGUCCUCGGCCCAGACACAAACACACACCUGCCAGAAAUGACAAACCGGGGAAGUGGACAUUGUCCAGAGAGGGCUGGUGGCUCACCUGGGCUCCCCGCAGAAGCCCCCAGCCAGUGCCCCCACGCUCCUGGUGGAGGGGAGGGGGGGGACUCAUAAAUCUGCAUUAAGGCGGCCCCUGCCCCGGUCUCUGGCUGAAGGGCUCUUGAUGGAGAUGAAUAAGGAGCCCAGGGGGACCACGUUCUCACCGCUCACCUCUGGCUGUUUAAAGAGAAACCUGUUAUAGA
Molecule: long non-coding RNA, 562 nt
Organism: Leopardus geoffroyi (Geoffroy's cat)
Lineage: Eukaryota; Metazoa; Chordata; Mammalia; Carnivora; Felidae
Exons: 2
Source: RefSeq, a predicted model, not a curated record